CCUACGGGUGGCAGCAGUGGGGAAUAUUGCACAAUGGGGGAAACCCUGAUGCAGCAACGCCGCGUGGGUGAAGGAGCGUUUCGGCGCGUAAAGCCCUGUCAACGGGGAAGAAGAAAGACGGUACCCGACCAAGAAGCCCCGGCUAACUACGUGCCAGCAGCCGCGGUAAUACGUAGGUGGCGAGCGUUAUCCGGAUUUAUGGGGUUUAACGGGUGCGCAGGCGGAAGAUCAAGUCAGCGGUAAAAUUGAGAGGCUAAACCUCUUCGAGCCGUUGAAACUGGUUUUCUUGAGUGAGCGAGAGGUAUGCGGAAUGCGUGGUGUAGCGGUGAAAUGCAUAGAUAUCACGCAGAACUCCGAUUGCGAAGGCAGCAUACCGGCGCUCAACUGACGCUCAUGCACGAAAGUGUGGGUAUCGAACAGGAUUAGAUACCCCGGUAGUC
RNAcentral lists this ribosomal RNA (440 nucleotides) under uncultured bacterium. RNAcentral's name for it is "partial 16S ribosomal RNA". It matches the Rfam family "Bacterial small subunit ribosomal RNA", at positions 338 to 795 of the family's 1533-position model. The record is from RNAcentral.